Podarcis lilfordi (Lilford's wall lizard) is the source of this 35127-nucleotide non-coding RNA. The record is from the annotation of a GenBank genome assembly. NCBI's taxonomy places the organism in Eukaryota, Metazoa, Chordata, Lepidosauria, Squamata, Lacertidae.
GACGGGGGGGGGGGCUCCGGGCUGAGGGAGCUGCUGCCGCCGCUGCUCGGCGUCGCGUCGCCUCUUCAGGGGGGGUCGCUCGGCGUCCUGGGCUCCGUGACGCGGCCGGGGCUUCCCUUGGCCCCUGGGGCUUCCUUCCAGCCGGCCCCUCCGCCGACGGGGCUGCUCGGAGGGAUGAGAUGAACCGGACCCAUGAAACUGACCCACCGCCCCAGCCCUGGGGGAGGCAGAGCUGAGGUAGCUGAGACCAACUGGUUGGUUAGUUCAGCAUUUUUAUUUUAUUUCCUUGAUGGGGGGCAGCCCCAGCCCUCCUGGCUACCGGUGGCCACAGCACAGGAGCAGAGGCGGGUUGAUAAGCUGGCAACCUCUUUGCAAGGCCAGUUUCUGCUUCAGGAUUGCUGGAAGGGAGCACUGGAGCGCAUUGGGUGCUGGCAGUGCCAGUUCUGCAGAUGGGCAUUUGGGGUUUUGUGGGUCAGGUGUGCUCACAAGUUUUGAAUGAGCAGGAUUCCAGUUUUUCAGAAGUGAUUGAGAAGGUGCUCCUUGUUGCAGCUACACAUUAUAUAAAAGAAUUACCAAAUUAGGGUGGUCUAGUGGAAAGGAGGACAGGGCUCUUGCCCCUUUAGUAGCCUCCUCUUCACCCAUGUUAAAGGUACAGGAGCCCUAUCUUUCCAUCUGGCCAAAAUUAAGUGGGUCUCACUAUUAGGAAUGCAAUCUAUUAUUAAGUUAAUAUGUGAUAAUAACAUACACCAUUGUGCAAAUUAGUUGAAACAAAGCAUGUUUUCUAUCUUACUCUUAAUCCUGUACUCAAAACAAACAUGAAAAGCCAGUUGAUCACUAUGGUGUCAGAAGCCUGCAGCCAAUAGAAGGAAUGAUGCGCUCGCCACAAUAUAUUGAGGUUCUACGAAAGAGAGUUAUUCCAGAGCUGGAAAAGAGGUAUCAUGAUGGUACUGGGUUAUUGCAGCAGGACCUAGCCCCCUGUCACACAUCAAAAGCGGUGAAGAAAUUCAUGACAGAGCAGCAAAUACAAGUACUUGAUUGGCCAGGGAAUUCCCCGUACGUAAAUCUCAUUGAGAAUUUGUGAACUACAGUAUAUGCAAAAGUCGCCUCCAUGCUGUAGACUGUACAACUAUGGAGAAGCUCAUUCAGGCUCUGAUUCAAGUGUGUGUUAUAACCUGAAAGAGAUUUCAUGAAAAUGUUUUGCCGUUGGUACCGAACACCUUCAAAACUGGCUAAAAUGUAUAAAACCGGGUCGAGCAAUUGUUGGAGAUGCAGAGAGGCGGAAGGCACAAUGAUACACAUGUGGUGGAACUGUAAAAAAAAGAGAGAAUUUUGGGAAAUGAUAUACAAUGAGCUUAAGAAAAUGUUUAAAUUUUAUUUUGCAAAAAAAAACCUGAAGCCUUUCUGCUGGGUAUAAUGAGUAACGAUAUUUCAAAAAAUAUAAGGAGAAUUUUCAUGUAUGCAAUAGCCGCAAAAAGAAUCUUAAUAGCUAAAGGAUGGAAAGGAGAAUCCAUUCCUACUAAGUAAGACUGGCAGGUGAAAAUGCUAGAAUACGCUGUUAGCAAAAAUGACAGGAAGACUUACAGAUGAUACAGAACAGUGAUUUAAUAGAGAAUGGGACACUUAGAGAGUAUACAUAAAAGAACAUUGUAAACAUCUAAAUUCUUUGGCAGGUCUUGAUUGACCCCUGAAAGACACUAGGAAACUUUACAGAACCAAGACAAUUGAGACAAUUUAUGAGAGACAGUGGAAAGUGUGCAGUCAAAAAUGUAACUUAGGAACCAUGUUGGGGUGAUCGGAAGUCAUAAUGGAAUCUGUUAUGUAUGAAUCUAAUUUUUUUCUUUUUGUAAUAUGUUUUGAUCUUGGAUUGUUUUUGUCGAUUGAUUUUUGCAAAAUUAAUAAAGCAUUAAAAUAAAAAAUGAAGCACCACAAGUUCUCCUUCCCUGCUUUACACCUUCAUAUCUAGUAUCUCUUCAGCAGCUGUGGCUGCUGGUUCCUCCCUCUCUGUUCUUUCCCAGGUAUGGUAGCAAACCCAUUUCCAGUGGUGGCACCAGAAAAGAAUUAUGGGAGAGCACUAAAUGGGCAAAGUGCAUUUUUUUGGAGAGAUGAGGCUGCAACAAGUGCCCUUCUUCCAAGGAACCACAGAGGUGCAGCGGGAGGGAACUCUUUGUCCAGGGAGGUGCUCUCUUGCCUCUCCCCUGGUACUCCCUAGGAUCUCUUCCCCCAUCCAUUGUAACAAACAGAAUAUUGAUUUUGCCUGACAGCAGGUUGGGAAUGUGAAUGAGCCCAAUAAAUGAGAAACAGAGAAACUGUGAUGGUGGCAACAACCUCCCUCAAAACAGAGGUUAGAUUUUCUGGGUUUCAACCUUAAACUUUGCGCACACAUGCUGGGAGCCUGAUCCCAUCUGCGCUUCCUCAGUGGCACUCCCAGUAAGUAUGCAUAAGAUUGCAGCUAAGGCAGAAUGCAUAAGGAAUCCAAUCAACUCCUUGACUGGACAGGAUUGCUUGGGCUUCCAGUCAAAUAGUGUGCAAAGUGAAAUUAGUUUCACCCUCAGCUAUCAUUGUGACAUUUGAGGAAGGCACAUAGCUCAGUUGUAGAGCAACUGCUUUGCAUGCAGAAGGUCCCAGGUUCCGUCCCCAGCAUCUCAAGUUGGCCAAGAAUUUCCUCUGCCUGAAACCCUGGGGACCCGCUGUGUGUCGGUGUUGGCAAUACUAAGCCAGAUCAUGAACCAAUGACCUGACUUGGUACAAGGCAGUUUCAUGUGUUUCCCUGACAUUGACAUUGCAAGGAGUCCUUGGUCUCUUGUAGAUCAUGUAGCCCAGCUCCCAGGUAAACUGUGACACUGAGGUGUCAGGAGCUACACACAUAACCCCAGGACUUGGUGAGUCCCAGCACCUCUCAUUUAGAGGUUAAACCACUCAUGCCAUAUUAAUGCAUGCAUUAUUUAGGAGAAAACAUCAUAUACCCAUGCUCAAUAGCCAGUCUAUAAAAGCCUUUAAAGGGUCAAGGAACAAUUCUUGUUGCAUGUGGGAGUCAGAUGUCCUUCCCCCCCGAUACUCUUCUUUCCCUAACAUUGAACAAACUAAUCAUUUCAGCCACUUGGACAACAAUAAUAGUUUAAUUGGAGCCAGGGCCUACGAUGGCAUAGCAUUGGGAGAGUUUUCAGUCCUGCAAAUGUGAAGCAAGAACCUAUGAAGUGUGUGCAGACUACUUUUCACCUCUGACUAAUCACAACCAGCCUCCACAUGCCUGGGAUUGGACAGAAUACCUUGCCGAUUUGGGGAUGGGAGUGAACAGUCAGUGUGUCAUCCACACCAGACUGAGACUUGUGAUUCUACUUUCAUUUCAUGAUUUCACUGACAGCUGGGCUACACCUUUAAAGCACAUUUGCAGCACAUUUCACCCCCUCAAAGAAUUCUGGGCGCUGUAGUCUACCCCUCAAGGGGGUACAAUUCUCACCAACCUCACCAGAAGCCUUUGAGGGAAAGAAUGUGCUUCAAAUGUACUUUAAAGAUGUAGUGUGUGCACAGCCGAGUGGACCCUCAAGAACACCAGGCACUAGAAAUCAACGCUGCAAAAGCAAAACCUGCCUUGCUGUCUGCGGAGGAGGAGGAAAAAGUUGAAAAUGUAUGAUUCCCUCCCUCACACUUAAGCUGUAGGGAAGGUGGCAGCAACAGGAGGUCCUGGCUGGAAAGUAGUAAAGAGGAGCAGAGUUAAGACAACUCAGACUGACAGCCAAAUAGACAUUAAAAUGGCACCCAUACCCCCACUUUAUACAUUCAUUUCAGAAUUUACAUUAUUUUCUUCUGUUAUGGAGGCUUUUAAGUGCAUUAAAUAUUUAAGCAUUUAAAUGUCAUGGAUUAAUGCAACAGCAAUACAGUACUAAAAACAAGAGCAUCAGCGCAUCAGCAGCAGAGCAGGGCAUGCGCAGAGAUGACCCAAGGAGCCUGCCUCCAAGAGACUUCUGAGAGUCAUGUGAAGCAAGUUUCCAUUUAUCAUUACUGAAUUUUUAUUAACAGAGCAAGAGAGGUACUGACAGAAUUUUACACCUCAAAUGCCAAAAUAGUUCAACUGAGUUCUUCUUUUAAAAAAAACAAAAAACCAUUUUAAGUUUACAUACAUGCAUCAUCUUAUAGACUUCCCAACCUAUCUUCCAUGGACAUCCUAUAUGACUUCCUUUGAUCUGCUACAUCUCCUUUAUUCCACCCUUUUUUAUCCCCUCAAUUCUCUUAUGUUUUCUGCUGCUGUUCAGAAAUUUGUCCCUAUUUGAAAGUUUACCAUCUCUUUUUAAGUACUCUCCAAGGCAAUUCCACUCACUUCCUAUUUUCUUUUCAUCCCAGUUUCUUAUUUUGGCAAUCAUACUCACUAGUUCCACAAAUUCUAUUAAUUUAGGGGCAGGCCGGGUAAGUUAGUGAGUGUGCCGUGUGCCAGUCCCUCCUCCAACCUGGGGAAUUGUGGUUGUCAUAUCAGCCAGCCCUCGGGUCUGCGACUGCUGCUGUUGAAUGCCAGGUCAGCCCAGAAUAAAAUCUCCCUUAUUCAUUAUCUGAUUAUGGAUGGGGAGGCAGAUCUGGCAUGUAUCACUGAAACUGGGCGGGGGAACAGGGUGGAGCAGCUGUGCCCACCUGGGUACUCAGAGCAGCGGCAGGCCAGACUCGAGGGUCGGGGAGGGGGAGUUGCUGUGGUUUAGAGAGAUUCUCUAUCUCCAGGUUCUCUGUCCGGGGGGGGCAGGGAUCUAAAGAGUGCGUUCCUGGCGUUGGGCAAUUGGGAGGUGGUAGCUCGCUGUGACUUAUUUGCAAGGCAUUUUGAGGAUAAGAUCACUUUCAUGCACCAAGACCUUGACUCUGCUGUUAUAGCAGAUGAAACUCAUGGGGUGUCCAGAACACAGUCUAGUCCUGUUGUACUGGAUGAGUUUCAGUUGGUAAGGCUCGAGGAUGUGGUGCUUGGAUCAGUCAGGGCGACCACUUGCGCUCUGGACCCUUGCCCCUCCUGGCUGAUAAAAACCAUCAGGGAGGGAACAGCUGGCUGGGCCAGGGAGGUGAUCAAUGCCUCUUUACAAGAGGGGGUGGUCCCUGCCUGUUUGAAGGAGGCAGUACUAAAACCACUCCUUAAGAAACCUUCCCUGGAUUCGGAAAACCUAACUAACUACUGGCCAGUUGCUAAUCUCCAUUUCCUGGGCAAGGUUCUGGAGCAAGUGGUCGCAGACCAGAUCCAGGCACUUUUGGAAGGAACUGAUUUUCUAGAUCCAUUUCAAAUGGGGUUUAGGCCUGGUUUUGGCACAGAAACUGCCUUGGUCACUCUGUAUGAUGACCUCUGUCGAGAGAGAGGCAAGGGAAACAUGUCCUUGUUAAUUCUCCUUGACCUUUCAGUGGCUUUCAAUACCAUCGACCAUGGUAUCCUGCUGGAGCGGUGGGUGGCACCGCUUUGCGGUAGUUCCAGUCCUACUUGGAUGGUCUUUCUCAGAGGGUGUUGCUUGGGGAAUGCUUUUCAACCCCGUGGAGCUUUCACUGUGGGGUUCUGCAGGGCCAUCCUAUCCCUUAUGUCUUCAACCAGUGUGCCAUGACACCCUGGGGUGCCUUGAAUGAUAGUCAGUACUUUCCGGUACAUCUGGGUUCGGCGCGUCCGUAACCCGAAAACGCUCAACCUGCAGCGAUCGCAACCCGAGGUAUGACUGUACCUUCUGCCAGUUGUGUCACAUAGGACAGAGUGUGGACAAAAUGCAACAAAUGAGGUUGGCUACAAACUGGUCUAGUCCCUAUAUUAUUUAUUACCUUUUUAGGUGCCAGGUGAAAUAUUCAGUCGUAAAUAUUCUUUUACUUGUACUGAAUAUUGUAGUGAAUAUUACCCACUUUUUAUGGUUUUAGUCUGUAUUAGAUUUUAGUUUCUUGUUGUAUUUUACAUUUUUAAUUUGUAAACCACUCAGAGGUGGUAUAUAAAUAUUGGAAAUAAAUAGUGAAUAAAGAGUGAAUACAGUGCUUCUAGCUACCAAAUCCUUCUUGGGAUUACAGCCAGACAUGUUCUCUUCCCACACACUCACACACUGCCCCAGUCUCACCCCCCUCUAAAUUAAAACCAUUAUUCCUAAAGGAUCAGUGCUGUUAGCUAACCCAAGAAAAGAAUGUUUUAUCUGAAUGAAAGUGUCUCACAAUAACUUAGCACUAGAACCUAUUCUGAAAGGCACAAUGAAAAGAGAGUCCUUCUUUCACCAGUAAAUAACUACAAACGACUUGCAUAUAUUGUUGUGAGUUUGGGGGAUUCCAUUGUUGAAGGAGCUAGGCAAGUUUCUUGGUGAGUUAAUGGGCCCUAAGUAUGGUGUGUGUGUGUGUGUGUGUGUGUGUGUGUGUGUGUGUUUAGUAUAAGAAAGGAGUUGCUCUGUGCAGGAAGGCAAAUGGGUGAGCUCUCUCUCUCCCCAGGCUAGUAGUAAGAAAGACAAAAGCUGAACUAGAGUGUGUGAAAACUGGGCUACAAGUAGCAGAAGUCAUUUCUGCCUGAAUCCAAGGCUGUGACUAGGGGGGAAGCAAGACCCUCGUGGGGUAUUAAUGCUGUGAGCCCCUCCAUUGUAGGUUCAGGUUGUAUAUAUGUGUCAAUAAACCAUCUGUCAUAAAGAUACCACAGUCUGCUGUCCCUCAGUCCCAGGAAAUAGAACCCUGGGUAAGUGCCUGGAGCCCCAGGAAUCUCUCACCACUCAGAGAUUGGGGUGGCGGGCAACAACAUGAUGGGGGUCAUAGAAAACAGCUUUGGUGGGGAUAUCAGUUGAUAAAGUAAAUAAAAUUAGAAGGAAGGAAGUAGAUUUUCUGUCAUUUGUUCAUUUUCACUUGCUGAAGAGCUGCACUUCUGUUGUGCAGGAGGGGAACUUUCAACUUAUGAAAAAAUAUGCUUGUUUUUAAUUGCAUAUUUGAAAGAUCAGAAUCGGCUAUUGCAUCAGACCUGCAGAUGUAGUCAUCAUCACUGGAACCGCAUCUUAGGGGGAAAUUAUGUUGAAAACAUGCCUGGUUUUCCUAGGUACGGUUCUGCAUGAGUUCUCUGACUUAGUCACUCUUUAAAACAGAAGUUGUGACGGGGAAGGGUCUUACUGUCACCCAGAGUCAGAGAUGGUUCAUUCAUCAUUCAUGAUAACCACAAGGCUUACCAUAUCACCAAGUGACACUCUCCCACUGUCAGACAAGUAGGAAGUUCACCCUAUGCACAACAUCAGGCUGGUAAAUGAUGGGCUUGGAGGCCUUUGCACUGCUGGUGUUUGCACCAAAGAUAAAUAGAGAGAAAAUGGGCAGGAAAGCACUAUUCCCAGAAGGGUAGCUAUGCUUGUCUCUUUCAGGAAAACAUCAAAGUCUUGUGGCUUCUGAAAUACUAACACAUUUAUGAUGGCAUGAUCUUUCAUGGUUCUCUUCAUUGGACACACAAAACCUUAUUUGCAAGCAGGGAUUUCAUAAAACUUGGAUUACAGUUGUAUCUGUAUGUGAAAAGGACUUUCAGAGAAAGUAAACACUUGACAAAUGUUUGAGCCAUCUUCCAGUAGUGAGCUUAAAAACUCUCCGUUGUUCAGUUCUGUGGGAAAACCAGCCUCAUAUAACCAGCAUGCUUAAGUCUACUUAAUGCAUGAACGAGUGCCUUGGGUAUGCGUGCCACAGAGUAAGCUGUCCUGCCAGACUUAGUUAGGUCACUCCCCCUCACCUUGGGCGGAAAGUAAUCAAGCACAUGGGAGAUCUGAGCUGAUUGCUCCAAACUGCGUGGCUCUCACAAGUCACCCUGGAGUUCCUAUACCAAGAAUUUAGAUACUUUCACCACGAUAGCUAAGCCAAGUUUUACUGCCUGUGCAACUUUUUCUGAAUGGUGUAUGGAAAAACACAUGAAUCUGACCUUUGAACAGUUUGCAUGUAAACCAUAUUUUAACUUACCAAAUGUGUGGUCUUUUUCUAUGUUAAGGGAUGGGAAAAGCUUUGGAACGCACAAGGGCAUAUUUUAAAGGUCCCUAACAACCGAUGUUUCCGUGCUUUACUUUGCUGCUUUUUUGUGAUUUUAAAUCCCUGCUGAGGUUGUCUCACCAAAUAGUACAUACCCCGAACCUGGAUAUCAGCAUCCAGGGAAUUCUCAUUUUAUAUACCCUUUUUUUUUUUUUUUUUUUUUUGCUUGCUACCAACAAGUUCAACAGGAAGUUCUUUUCCAAUACAUUAUUUUGCCAAGAAAAUAGAAGUUAUAGAAAAUAAACUGAAGAUGAAUUGAUAGUUGCCCUUGGUGUAACAAGCAUGUUUCUUUUGCCCACUGCUCAAAUGGUGUUUGUCAGUUUUUGAAACACUCCAGAAAUCCACAAAGCUUCUUUGACCAAAGAAGGGUGACUUUCCUGCAUCUUUUAGUGAUUCAGGAUGCCCCUCAGGACCCUGCACCCCUAAGAUUGUGUCCACUUUUAUAGAUCUAGAUUCCUCUGCCACCUCCAACUAUAGUAAUUUGUAGAAAUCGGCAAACACUUAAACAAACUCUGUAUUUGGCAACUUAUUAUUAAUAAUUUAAAAUUAAAUAAAUUUAUAAGACUUACAAACAAAUGCUUAAAGAAUGCUUUCUUUAGAUAGUUUAUUUAUUUCAUUCAACAAGAAAAAGACUCUCUGCACUUUUUCAAAAGCAUCCAGUUUGAUAUGCUAAAAUUUAAAAUAAAAGUUAGCCACUCUUGGUGCCUACUUCUUGGUGCCCAGGGAGCCAAUGGGAACUUUCCUAUCCGGCACAGGAGUCCCCAAAUAGUUAAAGCCCAUACCCCUUCAUCCAGGGUCCCAAUUUGGAUCCACUCUUGAUAGUUAUUCCACCUUUCUCAAAAUAAUGGCAAUUGUCCGGAUGGGAUCAUAUCCCCCUGGGCAAUUUUCACAUCAGCUUUUCGUCUUGAGGUUCCAGCUUCAAACAGCUGUGAGCAGCAGAGAACUGUGGGUGUGGGUUUUCCCAGCGAGAACUGCAGGACCAAGCCGGCCUUAUUGUUAGUGCUGGAGCCACAGGUGUCUGGGGUGUGCAUAUGUCAGCUUUCACCAAAAAGUGACUUGUCCUGCUAUUUAUUCAUUUGUACACCCACUCAGAAAACAGAUAGAUCUGAGACUGACAGCUGCAUGCACUGAGAGAGAAUUUUCCUGGGCCACAUUAGGAAGGAAGUGAUGAUGUUCCAGAUAAUUAUAUCAUGUAGAUACAUUUCCUGUGCCUAUAGCAGUUUUGGGCUGACCUCAUUCAACCAUCAAAACCACAGAUUUACCGUAGUUCUGUUAACAAAUCUUAGCAUUUUGCUGUAAAGCUCAGUUGACUUUUGUUGUCCAUGGAACAGCAAAAGGCUUUGUCACUGGAACAGGAUAAUACUGUACUGCAGUUUUCUAAAACCAAAAAGAAAGGGAAGGAAGACCAGUUGCUGAAUUUUGCAAAGUUUGUUGUUGUUUCUAGUGAUCUCACUGUUUCAGAUAAGACAGGUAGAGAUACUUAGGGUGGUAUGCAACUAAGUUUUCCUCAGUGUAGAUCCAUUGAAAAUAAUGAACAUCUGUUAGGUCCUUUAAUUUCAGUGGGUCUGCUCUGAGUAAACUUAGUUAAAUGCCACCAGUAUUAAGCUGGCUUUAAAAUAAUGGCUUCAAGUAAAAAGAAAGUGAUGGGCUCUCCUCCAUUGGAGGUUUUUAAGCAGAGGUUGGAUGGCCUUCUGUCACGGAUGCUUUACUUGAGAUUCCUGCAUUGCAGGCGGUUGGACUAGAUGACCCUCGGGGUCCCUUCUAACUCUACAAUUCAAUGAUUCUAUUAAAUCUGUGAGGUGGAUUGUGUGAGGCCCAUGGUCAGUAAAGUAGGCAUUUCAACUGAGAUCUUCCCCAGUCCAAGUCCAACACUGUUCUCUGUGCAGCACUCAUAUGAAGACAUUUCUAAUUAAUGUAUGGAACCCCAUUACCACAAAGGGGGGGUUAUGGCCAAUGGCUUUUAGAAGAAUAAGAUAAAUUUGUGGAGAGGUCAGUCAAUGGUUAUUAUCCAUAAACACUAAAGUUCAGAAGAGAGUUUUGCCACUGAGAAAUAAGAGUGGGAGAAGGCUAUUGCCCUCGUGUCUUGCUUGUGGGCCAGAAACAGGCCCCUCAAUGCCAGUUGCUGGUAAUCACAAAUGAGGAGUUGGUUGGCCAUGAUGAGAACAGAAUGCUAUACUGGAGGGCUUUUACAUUCAUCCCACAGGGCUUUUCUUAGUGUUUUUGCCCUGUCCUAGCUGGGUUCCAGGUACAGACAGCCUCUUGCAGCACCGUUGCUCCUGGGGACACAAAGGUUGCUCUGUCUCUGAGUCAGACACCAAAUUCCCAUUCUGAGGGGAAGGAUCCCUGUCAGUCUUCCCCAAGGGCCCCAUUUCUUCCUUGGCUGCUGUUCUGGGCUGCAUCCAGAGGUUUCAGGUCAUCCUCAGCCAGAACCUUGGAGAAUGAGGAGGAGGAGACACCUGGCAAGAGCAUGGCCAUUCUUAAGGUUCCGUGACAGGAACAUUCACACUGUGUUCUACAAACUUGACAGCUGGCAGAGGUGCUGCUGAAUCCACCUGGAACUGCGAUAGUGACCUACAGGGUAAACAUUUCCUGCUGAUAUUUUUCCAGUUAAAAAUCUCCCACCACACUGCUAUUUGCCUGGCAUAUAGCGAUGAUAAAACCUGCAAGCACCAGGGCUGGCUCUCUUGCUCCCCCUCCCCCCGUUUUCCUUCUCCAUUUCAUCCCCCUUGCUUCUCCUCACCAUUUCAUGUAAUCUUCCUUCACCCUCCUUUCCAUAUCUCUGUCAGACCACUAACCCACAGAGUUCUACUCAAGUUCCACGCUGUGUGAGCAGCUGCCUCCCUGCCCCUUGGCCGUAGAUAAGCAGUACAAAGAGAAAGCAGUCUCUUACCCAGGGGUCAGCAAACCUUUUCAGCAGGGGGCCGGUCCACUGUCCCUCAGACCUUGUGAGGGCCCAGACUAUAUUUGGGGGGGGGAAUGAACAAAUUCCUAUGCCCCACAAAUAACCCAGAGAUGCAUUUUAAAUAAAAGCACACAUUCUACUCAUGUAAAAACACGCUGAUUCCCGGACCGUCUGCAGACCAGAUUUAGAAGGCAAUUGGGCCAGAUCCGGCCCCUGGGCCUUAGUUUGCCUACCCAUGCUCUUACCAGUAACAGAAAAGUUUAAUGAAUGCAGCAAAAGAACAAGCAACCAUUCUCGGAGGUGCUCCCAAUUAAGGUUCCUUCCACUUCCCUCCAGUCACUUUUGUCCUCUCGUCUCCUAGCCACCUGAUCUCUCAACCACUGAGCCUUUUGUGAAGCCACCUUAUCUAACCUCCUAGCCUUGGGACUGAGAGGCUGCACAUCUUCCAGUGAAAGUUGGCUAGCUCACUCUCUUCCCGUUCUUCUUCUUGCUGAUCACCUCCCAGUUCCGCCCAGCUAUUGUCUCCCAAACUGUGCCCUUCAGCAAACCAUUGUUCCAAAUCAACACUACUCCACUGGUCCUGUGGAGUUUCAGGAUACUGGCCAUGAGCAGGGGGAGGGGUAGGUUCCCACCAUUCCUCAUCGAGUUGUACUCCUCAGCCAGGUCUCUGACAAUAUAUUUCAAAAAGCACCACCUUUCAGAAAUCCCAACCAUGUCAAUUCUGCCUUUGAAAUCCCAGACGUACGGCAGCCCUCCCUGAUGGUCAGGCUCCCAGCUUUGCAUAGAGCAGCUUCAGUCUCCAGCCAUGGGGUAAAGGCACAUGAGAGACAGAGAAGUCAGCAGAAUGGAAGGAGGAGUUGUGUUUUGGGGUGACGGGGAAAGGGGGGGAGAUGAGUGCUUGUCUGAAUGGAGGACAGAAAGGAAUGUGUGAAUAUGAGGAAGCCGUCCCAGGGAGAAGGAGGUUUUGUCACUAUGAGCAAGCAGGCCGGCUGCAGGGAGGUGGGUACAGCACUUAGAUUCAAAUCUGCCGCCUCUCCCAGAAGGCCUCUUGAGGUGACUGCCACAGAGAGGUGCAUGGUAGCUCCAGGCCUGCCAAGCACACAGGACCACUACUCACGUCUAUUAUAAACUUUCCCUUUUCUGAUGAUGGGUUCCAACGUCAGCUUCCCCCACUGCUCCAUAGGAGGAGAGUGUUGGGGCUAGCAGUGCUGAUAUAAAUAUAAUUUUAUUUGCAGCUAAAGUGGUUUGUUGGAACCCUAUACUUACAACAUAUGAAACAAAUGGCAAAUGUCAUAGGAUCACAAGUGUGAAAAAAAUUAUAUGAAUGUGGACAAAGUUAAAUUUGGCAUUCCACCUCAUGCUGAGGCAGUCUUCCUUAAAUGGCUACCCUUCAGUUACUUUGGACUCCCAACUCCCUUCAACUGCAGUCAGAAUGGGGCACCAGAGGAAGGCUGCUCUAAGGCACCCUCCUCAGUCCCAAUGAAGAUCCACCACAUCUCAAGCCCUGGGCUCUGAAGUACACAUCAGAAAGUGAGAAGGUUCCCAGCAAGAUUGGCUAGCGUGGCUGCUGAGUCAGAUGGCUCUGAGAUCCAGAGAUGCUCUCCUCAUUCACUUUCCACUCACGAGGCCUCACUUUCACAUACUGUGGUCCUUGUUUGGCUGCUAAGAUUGCCAAAGCAAGUCAGCUUGCAGAUGAGUUCUAAGACUGGUCCUUCUAUUUGGCAGAAUGAAGCAGCUGCCUCAGACAACUGCUGCAGGAAUGGUGGUGAGGUUUUAGAGGACAGAACUACUUGUGCCACAAGGGCUAGAUUAUGUUCCAUUUUACAGAUGAGGAACUAAGUCUGAGCCACACGUCACAUGGUACACAGUGGAGUAGGGAUUCAGCAUCCUCUUGCCCAAGCUCAUUUCAAAAAGCUGGUGCUACUGAACCCCACGGGCCUUCUGCUCACACAUCUUGAACAUGGGAGAAAUGCCCACCCCCUCCUCAGUUCUGCACAGUGUUUAAUAUCAGACUUCUAGCUCUUUGCCUGGUUGAAAUGGGAGAUCUGGGACUUAUCUGUGCUGCUGCUUCCUCUAAAUUCCUAAGCGCUCUGGGUGGCUGCCUUAGCCUUCGAGGACCCCUGGACACAAGAGACGCCUUCUUGGAUGAAGAGCUGCAGCUGGGACAUUUCUCUAAAGACUGCUACUGCGUCUCCCUUCAUUUUAAUGAAAUGAUGCAUCCAGGGAGAAAGAGUCCUGUGCAACAUCAUUUACAGAGCAAUGUGAAAAUGCUUGUGGGAGGACAAUAGGCUCCUAUCACCCCUCUAUGUCAGCCUCAGAGCAUCUGCACACAGGACAGCUAUUCUCACCAGAUGUGGCAGGGACGGGCAGAGAGAGAACAAGAGGAAAUGGCAUGUGGAUGGGUGGGUGAUCUAUGAUGCUGGGAGGUAUAUGUGUACAGUGGUACCUCUGGUUACGUAUUUAAUUCACUCCGGAGGUCCGUUCUUAACCUGAAACUGUUCUUAACCUGAAGCACCACUUUAGCCAAUGGGGCCCCCUGCUGCUGCUGCACCGCUGGAGCACGAUUUCUGUUCUCAUCCUGAAGAAAGUUCUUAACUCGAGGUAUUAUUUCUGGGUUAGCGGAGUCUGUAACCUGAAGCGUAUGUAACCCGAGGUACCACUGCAUAAAGGAGAAGAAGGAAUUGUAUGGGCAUGGGAAAACAAGGCUAGAUGCAGUAGUUUUACUGCCCCAAAUGGUCACACCACAUGAUCUGCAGAGCAUGUUGGAAGUGCUGGGGUGCAACUCAACUUGUAUUUAAGACUGGUGGUCUGGAUGGCGAGAAAGUAGACAAUAGGAGCCGACUCCUAGGGGCCGAGGUCCCUUUGGACCUCCAAUAAAACAUUCGAGGGGGCUGCCCUUCCAAAGUUGAUGGGUGUUGCCAUUUAAAUGGUGUUUGUACAUCACAUCUUGUGAUAGAUUAUGCAGAGCAGGGCUUACCUGCCCCCCCAUAUUUAAUUUAAAUUGGCACCCCCAAAGUAGAGAGGCAUAUGAAUACCAAAGCUUCUUAGACUGUUGUUUAACCUGUGCUGAUCCUCCUUCGUAUGUUAGGCGAUGGUCUUAGGGUUGCUGAUCUCAUUUCCUACUGCUCCCUUCUGCAUCUUCACCUUCGGAGUGGAUACAUAUUUGUGUAUGUCUCCUGCUGAAAACAAAGAGGUUCUUUGUAUCUCCACCUCAGUUAGACAGAACUAGAAUUUUUCCUAUCAAGUAUGUAUUUCCUUUAAAUUUAGCUUACUACUUUUUCCAAACUCAGAGUCUCAGUGUGAUUGUAUCCAAGGGUAAAGUGUCCUCUUCCACAGGGAUCCAGUGCUCAGUUUCACUUCCGCAGGUGCAUUUAAACUCCAAAUGCCAUUAAGGUGCAAGCCCAGGAUCCCAUACCCUCAAACGUUCCUCAGGUGAAAAUAGGGGCAUUUCUGACUCCCCUCUACUGACCCCCAUUUUUUGUCCCAUCCCUCCACAGAGCACUUCUUAUUAGAAGGGCAAGUGCCACCCCCACUUCACCAAUGGGACACAGCACACAGGCCCCCCACUGCCCUGAGAAAACCCCUUAAUCCCAAAUUUAUUCUUUGGUAGACUUACAGAAGGGAAAAUGCACACCAAUAAAGAAAAACAAAUAAAGGGGCAAAUUUAGACACAGACACAAGAAGGAAGGAAGGAAGGAAGGAAGGAAGGAAGGAAGGAAGGAAGGCAGGCUCCUUGCGCUCUGCUUCACUCCCCCUUUCUUCCUGCCCUCCUCCUGCCCCCUCAGAGCCAACACAUCACACAGGGCUGGGCCUCGACAGCGGCAGCCUCUCCUACUCCUCACCCGCUCUCCAGCAGCCACUUUGAGCUGCCCAAGGGAGGAGGCUGGCAGCAGCAACCAUGGAGAGGCAACAGGAUGCUUCCUCACCUCAAGGGUGAUUUCCAACAAAACACAAAUUAGAAUGAUGUCUAAAAUGUAACAUUUAUUAAAAACAACCUUAGAGCCUGCUAUUUGUUUUUGGGAUGGGACUGCUGUUGCUUUCAAGACUAGCCCUAGUGGCAGUGUACUCCUCUGCACAGAAAGUGUAUAUCUGUAAAUAAUGCAGAAAGGCACACAAGUCUCUGUCCAGUAUAUUUGUGGAAGGCACACAAGCUCAUUUAAGUGAGAGAGUGAUUUACCCAUUGUUGUUGUUGGUAUCCAUCUGUCUUGGGAGACAAUGGAGUAUGCCUCCAGGGUGAAGUCCAACCGCUGCAUUUUCAGCAUCAAAAUGACGUCCACAGGGUGCAAGUCUAGGCAUUUUGCAUGUAGGACCUGGGCUGCGCAGCCAACAAGACUGAUGUGGUCCAAAGGGAAGCAGAGCAAUACAUUCGGCACCUGCUUGGCUGCAGGAGUUGCCAGAAGGAGGCGUACAAAGAGCCAUCCAACCGUCUUAGGGACUCUGGAUUUGUGUAGGGUUUACUCUUGAGCCUUUUCUUCUCUCAAAGAUGUCCUGCAAAGUUUAGGACCAGAGUUACCCUUCUCCUGGAUGGGCUAGGUUCCUAGGUUGACGAGCCCCAUCUGCCCCUGCAUGGUUUUGCCAGGGGUGGGAAAGCCUUUCAUUUUCGGUUUCUCUCAGUAUCAUUUUUUCCAAAUUUAAGUUCAGUUCUCCAUAUUUUCAUAUUAGUUUGCAAGAGUCAGGGCUUUAUUUCCAGCUGGAACUCAUUGGAACUCAGUUCUGACACCUCUCAGGUGGGCGCCCUUGCCAUUAUAAGAGAACAAGGGAGGCAUUCAUGGUGAGUUCCCACACCACUUUUUCUAGAAAAUUGCACUGGAAAGAAAAUUCCAGUAAAAAUUCAUCAGCAUUUAGUGCAAAUUUAUCUUAAUGUAUGUGCUGGAAACAUUAUAAAAUAGUCUGUAAAUGUUUAUUUUCUACUUUUGACUUCUGAAAACCUCUCCAGCAGCCUUGCAUUAUGGGAGCCACUGUUAGCCCUACGCCCCCCCAAGUGCACACUCACAGAGGCUGCCCCCCAUGGGGAAGCACCUGGAAAAGGCUUUUCUCUUUACAAAAGCCCUUGAUAACAGGAAUUGACUAUGUACACAGUACUGUUUGUUCAGACCAUAGGAGCCAAUUGCUAGAGGCCUGAGGUCCCUUUGCCCCACCCUCAAUAAAAUAUCUGAGGGGGGCAGAACCCCCCCCCCAAGUUGAUGGGUAUUGCCAUUCAAAUUGUGUGCAUGCACACUUUUCUCGCCUCAGGCUGACCUGCCCUCCCAUAUUUUAUUCAAGUUCAGACUAUCACAGGAAUGACAUUCACCGGUCAGCUUGGUUACCUAUGUUGUGAUUUGAAGGUAACUUGUGUUAACUAAUCAAGAAUCUCAAUGCUGUAUGUAAACUGUGAGCCUUACAAUUCACAAAUUAUUUGGUUGACAUAUUGUAGAUUUUGACCUGUCUGACCUGCUGUAACCCCUCCUCGAAUAUGAUGUAUUUCUGACGUUUUGCCUACAUAUCAUUAUGUUCUAUAUUUUUGCCUGGUAGUCUUCUCUUUUUCUUCUUGCUGUGACUGAGGAACCUAGCCUUCAGCAACAGUGACUCAAGUAAGGGGCUCUGGCCCCAAGCAAGCCCCUGGUUUUCUGGCAACAAUACCCUUUUAUUGCAAUGCAUUUUUGUAUGUGUAUAUUUUUAUGCACACUCUCCUCUGAAAUACAUUGUUGUACCAACUUUUGCUUUGGAGAACUGCACUGCAAGAUUUGGAGAAGUUUGAAUCUGAAAUGAUAGUUGCAUUUUGGUUUCUGUAUUGUUUCAGGAAGUAGGAAUUAGUUCUGAUUGCCUUUAAAUGCAAAGUGAAUCAACUUUUUCACACACACACACCACUUAAAAAGUUGUAAGUCACAUGGUGACUGGAACUGCUGUGUAAGGAGCAAGACAAUAACAUUCUUGGAUUAGUUAGAGAAGUUAGGGAUGGACUGGGGCAAGAGAGGACAUAGAAAGAAAGAUGUUUAAAUUGUUUGCAGCUGCAUAGUUUGGUGUUAGUUGUUGUUAUAGAGGGGAUUAUUGGUUAAUCAGAUAGCAUCUGUUCACUCUUCAGUUCUUGUGGUUGUUUCUAAAUGCUUUAACAAAGCAAAGUCUGCAGUACUCUCUCUAUGCAAGGAAACUCUCCUGGGGUAGUGGCAGCUGAGGAUGGAACAUGAAAGGGAGGGGGGUAAAACUUAGCAGGCCCAGCAUGAGGUGCAGCGGGACAAACAGGGCUUCCUUGGGAUCACACUGAGAGGGCGGACACAGUCAGGUGGAGGCUUUCCGUUGUUAGCUAUUGGCACUCAGCCACUAGGUAUGCUGGCUCGCACCACAAAGAACUGGUGUGUUUGUGUUGAAUGGCAAGACCUGAAAGUCAUGUUUUUGUCUGACCAAGUGGACCUUGAAAACAGAAGCGUUUUCCCACUUGUCUUAACUCACAAGCAUCUUUUUCCUGCCACUGUGUUUUGCAAAAGCAGAAAUGGAGUCUUCAGUAUUCAGGCUUAGUCAGGGGCAAAACUAGGCUUUAUUUAACCCAGGUCAAAGUCCCAGUUUGGCACACGCACCCAUGCACAUUUGGACAUAUACAUACACAGGCUGGGAGCCUCAAUGGUGCCCACCUGGAGGCUUCACCCAGGGCAAAAACCUGGCUAGCCUCCCGCCCGCCGCUCUGGCUUAGUAAUAGAUCUUAACAGGUAAUUUGGGGCAGUGGCUGCAGCAGAAUGAGGCAUGUGAGGGAACCUGCCACAAUGCGAACUGUUCCAGCAUUCAGAUUUGCUUUCUGUUAAGCAAACACAGGUUUCAUGAAACAGGUAACGCUGCACCUGCAAAAGUGGCAGAUGAAUUACAUGGUCUGCAUUGAGAGGGAUAUGGACACAGCUUGGUGGCUGAGGUGGGAAACCUGAAGAGAGUACACACAGACACAGACACCCCACGCCUUCCCCUCUACUUAAUUUAGGGCAGUGACAGUCCACUUAAGUCUCCUCAACAGUCUUCUCAACAGGCUCCACUGAGCACCAUGACAGUGUGCUGAAUCUGGCCCUCUGGUAUCUGCCAACCCAAUAUUUAUUAUGGUAGGACAGACUUUAUCUGAAGCUUUACUCACAAGGAAAAGAAAAAGCUCAUAUGUUGCAAGAAAUUGAGCCUACUUGCUUGGAAAACCUUUUAAAAGUUUAAUGUGUUAUUAAGUUUUUACAUAUGUUGGAAGCCGCCCAGAGUGGCUGGGGCAACCCAGUCAGAUAACAGAGUACAAUUAUUAUUAUUAUUAUUAUUAUUAUUAUUAUUAUCGUCUUUUCAGAUGUUAUGUUUCACAUUUUUGUCCUUGGGGGCCUCAGGACUGUCAUUUAGGGAACCCAGUUAUGGCUUUCUGAGGAUGUUAAGAAUUGCAACUGAAUUUUCAACUUCACUUGAUAUAACUUUAUGUCUGAAUGGACUUUUGCUGCUUUGGGGUGUUGCUUUAAUUUUCCAUAUUUUAUUUAAUUAUUUAAUUUUAUUUCCUCAAUUUAUUUUCUAUUUUUGUUUCUUAGUGCUUGGUUGGACUCCUUGUAAACAUAAGGGUACGAGAUAUUAAGUUAUUUAAUCUGUGUGAAGUGCAGUUCCUGAGCAUAUGUGCUCCAUAACAGGGAAGUCUUUGUUUUAGGGUGUGGUCUGAAGGCAAAUUGGGGGCUUGCUGCAGCUAGGCAAGCCUGGAUCUUUUUGGUACCUGAAUGAGUGGCUACCUGAGAACCAUAUGUAUGCACCUUUACCAAGAGUCCAGCUGAUGCAAGUUGUAGUUCUAAAACAUCUGGAAGGCUAUGGGAAGGAACUAAUGCAACUAUUAAUAUUGCACAGCUUGAAGCAGACAAACUGGAAUAAAAAGUGUCCAGACCUGCAAUUAUUACUCAGAGCUUUACUAAUCAGAACUUCAUCAAAUCAGGUACAAAAACAUCAAUGAUACAUCCAAAUAAUUCCAUACAAUCAUGUACACAUCCAGCACAGGCUCAGUUUCUUAUAAAAUAUGAAAUAGUCCAAAAAGAUCUAAAAUCACAGGUCUGUCUCUCCCCACAGCCUCCAUUACCACCUACAGCUGUUUUUCCUUUAGGAGAGACCUCAUUAUCACGUUCUUUGUCUUUGGUUGCUUGAGAACAAAGACUCAAAACACACAGAUUAACAUAUGCAGAGAGUGUAAUUCUACCUCUUUUCCCUUUAUUUUUUUAAAGUGGGAGAUCCCACCAUUGUAAAAAUCAUACAAAUUUUGUGUUGUUGUUGUUGUUUUUUGAGGGGGUAUAAUGGGCAUAGGAAGGAUUUGGCACCCCUACCUCUACACUUUUUCAGCUGGCUCUCCCCCCCUUCCCACACUUUGCUGCAUGCCAAUGGCCUGUUUGCAGACAUGACCGACUGUUGUGAGGUGCCUACAGUCUGAGAGAGAGGUCAGUUUUGCCCCGUGGUAGCUGUUUUCCAGAGUUCAUGAGUCCCGACAGACUGCUUAUCUGGCCACGGAGCAACAGAGUACCAUGGGCAACCUAAACUGUUUUGAGUAGCCAGAUGCGUGUUAAAUGCUUUAAAAAGCUUGCAGUCCAGCUUCCAACCCAAUCCACUGGCAGAACUGAACUGGAAACUGGAAAGGAAAGUGUUUCCAUAAUUGAAGGCAGCAUCAAGGAUUUCCUAGGGCCCUGCUAGGCAGAAGAAUAAACCUGGAGGCAGGAAGGAGCUGCAUAGUUGGAUAAAGAACUGAGAGGAGCUGUGAGUGUUUAUUAACACACAUGGCUUCAAUCAGCACAGAUGUGGAAUACAGAGAAGCAUAGUGUGAAAAAGGGCCCUGCCCUUCUAUUCUGACUCCUAAGCUAGCUAUUGCACAAAACCUGGGAGAGCAACUAGAAGAACAUUUUCUUCUUACCAUGAAUUUCAGUUUACAGAUUGGGGUGGGGGGACAACAUUCCUGAUAGAGAUGACUCCCCCUACUGGAGACAGACAGGGUCCUCUCCAGAGGGGGAGAGUCAUCCCGUCACCGAGUAGCAGAGCAGAAUAACUCCUCACCCUGAAGCAGAUGUCCGUAUGCCAGCCAAAUCACUGGAGCACAGACCUAGAAAGGAAGGACACUCAUACACAAAGCAUGUGGUUAGAUAGCAAUGCCAAAGGUAAUACCCCACAAACGCCUCCUCAUAUCAAUCUAUAAACCAACAGAAGCCGCCACUAGAGGCGACAAGUGCUGCAAUGCGUUGAACCACAGGAAGAUAGAGGAGGGUGGAAUAUCGUCAUCCCCCUUCCGUAAACGGAAAUUCAAAGUAAGAAAAUUUUCCAUUUUUACCAGAUUUAGGGGGAUGCCAUUCCUGAUAGGGAUAUACCAGAGCAGUAUCCCAGCAUUGGGGAGGGCUUCCUCCGCCUCCAAAUUACUGUGGAACUACUCUCUGCAGCACCUUGCAACCAAAGGCCGCAUCAGAAGAAGCGAAGGAAUCAAUUUUGUAAUGCUUAAUGAAAGUAUGCGGAGAGGCCCAUGGAGCAGUCCUAUAGACAUCCACUAUUGGAAAACCUCCCUUACACACACUGAGGCUGCUGCCCCAUGCAAGGAAUGAGCACCUCUGACAUGGAACAGAGCUGAUUGAUCUAAAUAAAGCUUUAGGGCCUUAUGCACACCCAAUGAAUGCCAACUAUACUCUUCUGGGCAAGAAGGAUUAGGACAAAAGGAAGGCAGAACCAUUUCCUGUGAUCUAUAAAAAAAAAGGGAAUUCAAUUUAGGGAUAAAUCCUGGGUCAGGUUUGAGAACUACCUUAUCUGAACAGAAGAAACAAAGUUUGGGAUCAGAGGAAAGAGCGCCCAACUUGGAAAUCUACCUUGGUGAAAUAAUGGAAACUAAGAAAAUUAUCUUAUAGGUCAGAAACUUUAAGUCACAAGAAUCCAUAGAUUCAGUUGGAGCCUCUAUUAACCCUGUCAGGACCCAAUUAAGAUCCCAAGUAGGAAAACCCAUGAACUGUCAUGGGAGCCAACAGUGCAAACCACUUCAUGGAAAGCUGAGUCAAAACGUCAGUAGAUAGAAGAGGGCCCCCUAAAUUGGACAGAAUGCUGCUAAGAGUGGGAAACUGCCUCUUAAUGCACAAUGUCCUUUAUCCCCCUUGCAGGGGGUUGGACUAGAUGACACUUGUGGUCCCUUCCACGGGGACGGGAGCUCUGGAAUGGAUUCCAUUCGACUGCCCAAGGUAUGACUGUAUUACAAAUCUGGGCCAUUUGGGUGGGUGGGUGAUGCAUUUCCUCUUAUUUUGGCAAGCCUCAAUAAGCUCAUGAGAAAGGAAAAGUUAGAGCCACAGACUUCCUGUUUUAUAGCCCACUUUUUUCAGUCAUUAUGCCCCUCCCCCCGGUCUGUUGCAGAGUUACAUACUUGUUCAGAAACUCUGUUCUGGAGAAGGAAGAAAGUGGGUGCAGAGAACAAGAGUACCUAAGGGGAGACUAGACAGAUAAUAGCUAUCUAAGCCUAUCGGAGGAGGCAGAAGCAACAUCUCAGCAAUAGACAGGAAGGAAGAUGCACCUUCUGUGAAUGUGUUAUGACUGCACCAGCUCACAGCCCCUGCAGACACAACAGGCCUGGGGAGAGAAUUGUGUGUUGUGUGCAUCUGGGGAAGAAGUUAGUGUGAAACAAAAGGGGAUGUGGUAUGCAUACUGCCAAAAAUGUGGUUUUGCUGAGUAGUAGGUGUGAUUUGCAUGAGUAGAGUUGCCAUGUACAGGUAUCAAGAGUUGCAUAGAAAUGAAGUUAAAUUGCUGGUUUCCCCAGCACACUAUUGCAAUGACACAGGAAGCCACGUCUGAAGGUCUGGUGAAAUUCGAGCACCUCUUAAAAGGACAGUUGCCUUUCAAGAUGGGAUGUGAGCAACCUAACACACAUGGCCUGGCCAAGACCUUGUGCCCCAUGAGAAGGAAAAUCCAGACAGUUCCUUUUUCCACUGCCUUGCUAAGUAACAUGAGCCUCAAUCCCCUAGCGUUUUCCCUAGCAUAAGCUCCACUGAAAUGAAGGUGCCUUCACCUGAUAAAUAUCCUGAUGCAAAGUCCUUCCAGGGGAGGAACAUGGUGGAUUCAAGUAUUUUGUCAGCAGGCUACUAAUGAAGAUAGUUGUGUGGCAAUUGAUGAUAUUCAGAUAUAAAUCUUGGCUUUAAAAUUCACUCUGGAAAAAAGAGUGAACGGGAUUGACCUUUGAUGGUCUUUAAAAGGCCGUUUUCUGCAUUGGGAGCCUGAGAAAUGGUCAGUUUCUGGGAACCCUGACAGGGUUAAGUGACUUGUGAGUGAAGGAAUCAACAUCUUACUCAAAAGCCACACAAGAGCCCUGAUAGGCACUGGAUCUGCAAAAGCCUCUUUUCUUAAUUAUUUCUAAGAUGGUUAUAAUUUAUAACGGACAGAGAUUUUUUUGUCUGCUGGUAGACAUUGACAUUUGAUGUGUGAGCUACUUUCUGGCUUCAAGAAUAAGGGAAUAAGCCUGCUCCAAUUGUUUGAGGCAAGAAAGUUUAAAUGAGCAAGGUAGUUCUGUGUGCUAAGAAUUUGUAUUUUCUUUAUUUUUGUUUUCUUGAUGAAAGUGUUGCCUAGAAAUCAAAAGUAAUUCAGACAUUUGGCUGUGAAGAUUGGGAAAAUAUUGCUUAACAGAAAGUAGAACAGUUGUAUGUAAUACUAGAGUGCAUGUUUAGAAUAAUUUCUUUUAUGUAACUAGCAGAUGGAAAAUUGGAAAUCUUUUCAGCUAUGUUGAUAGUUGAGUUAAUAAUAACAAUUUAUUAUUGUUGUGGUUAUUAAUUAUUCAUUGCUUACUACAUAAAAUGCCUCAAAAUUAUUUAUUUAUUUAUUUAUUGAAUUUAUAUAGUGCCCUAUACCCAGGGGUCUCAGGGUGGUUUACUUUUGUAAUAACAUUUAAAAAACAAAAUUUAAAAAGUUAUUAAAAAGAUAAUACAACAAUAUUGACUAAAAGGGCUCAUCCUGCAAUAUUGUAAAAGGACAAAGCCUAUUCACCCUACUAAAAUAUGAAUACUUUGUCUUCAAACAGCAUCAGCCUAAGGGAUUGAGCUAUCACAGAGCACAAAACUUCAAGUAACUUAUGGAAUUCUUUAUUUGUGACCUGCAUCAAGAUGGCGGUGCUCACUGGCUGCUUCUUUGCUGUUGUGUAUUCCAUAAUGCAGUGGUUUUCAACCAGUGUGCCGUGGCACCCUGGGGUGCCUUGAAUGAUGGUGAUGUGGGCAGAGGAAGGGAGUGAGGAGGGAAGAGAGCGAGCAGCUGUCAGGUAGACUUGUACAGCAGCACAAGCCUUUUGGUGCUGCGCUUCUGCGUGAGCCAGUUAUCUCGUGCAGCAGCGUGACUCACAUCCCAAUUUUCAGCUGAGAAAUGUUGGAGGGUAUUUGUCAGGGAACUGCCAUCGAUUCAGGAGGGAGAGAGGAAAAGCCGAAUGGAUUACAGAGAGCCUCCAGGGAUCGUGGGAAGCAGCUCCUCCUCAGCGGAGGAGAGUAACCACGUCUCCAGUGGAGAGGAGCUGCAGGGCUCGGAGGGGGCGAGGCGGUGCCAGGACACCUUGCCUGGGCAAAGCGGGGAGGAGAGGGGUCCUCCGUUACCCACGCCCUCCUUGCGCAGUAAGCUUCCGCGCAGAGAGGGAAGGCGCAGGCUGGGUGUCAAUAAAUUACUUUGCUGGGGAAAGUUUAAGGACCGCCCACUCACGGAUUCUGCCAGUGAAUGAGCCAGCCACGGGAGAGUGGCGCUCUGGACAGAUAAAGUUUAUUUUUGCAGCUAAAGCAAGGCUUUACAGCCGAGCAGGCAGGUAUUUGCCUGCUUGCUCUCGAGCAACCACUUGGAACCUUUACAGUAUUGCUAUGUAUGUAUGCAGGCAGUGCAGGCAAAACCCAGUGCAUGGCACCGUUGAUGCCUCCUGGAGCUCAGGAGCUUUAGCAGCAUAACAAAAGAUAGGAAGGAUUCCAAAACCCUCCAAUAGUAUUUGUUGGUAGCUGGCAGGCAGCCAAUCCCUGCUGGCAUAGGGCCAGUGUUGUGAUUUGCUACCUGCAGCAUAAGGUGACCUAUCUGUUAAGUUGUGGGUGAACAUAUCAGAUGACACAGCGAUUCUUCAAACAGCUCUUGUUUAUUCACAGGCCAGAACAGAACUGAACUGAAGGGUUCAGCCAGCCUGCUUAUAUAGAGCUCCAUUACAACGCAACAGUAACCACUUUCUGUAACUAUCCAUUCACUGAACAUCACUUUCAAUCCCUUAUUUGCAUACGUGGACCUGAGUGAAAACUAUCUACAGUAUCCCCCUGCUGGCCCAGGGUGAGAACUUCAGUACAUAACACUAUCACAGGUGGGAGGGUGUUACCUGGGCUGGCUUAAGGUGUCUGUACACUGGGCCGAGUGCCCCAGUUUGUCACUCUUGUUCCGGAUGCUCCAAUAAAUCCUUCUGAGCUCAACCUAGGCCUCAGGUCAUGCUUGAAUCCACCUGCACUUCAGGCAUGAUACUAUUAGUGUGGCCCAGCACAAAGUUUAACCCAGCAAGCCAAUAUCCUCAAGGCUGUCAGCCCACAGUUCCAAAGUACUGCCUUCAAGAGCCACUUCUUUUUUCUCCUGCAGGAAUCAGAGAGCUAUAUAAUGCUGGGCUUUGGUUUUGCUGCUGACCACAGGAAGAAAACCACAGUGCUAGUUGUGUCAACCCAGAUGUUACUUCUAAAACAAAAGGAAGUUAUUAAUUGCAGACUAAUGGAACUGCCUUCCAGUCUGUUGGCAGACACCUGGCACAGACCAUUCCUGGCAGCUGCUAUUAUCCUGCUGUAGCCACUGACAUGCUGCUAAUUAUCCAAUUGAGGCAGCCUAAUAUUAUGGGUUCUGGAGAAUAACAGUGGGAUGGAUGAGGACCACAGUUAUCUUAAGUCUAAUGGUGUGUCAGGAGAGAGACCAGGGAGCUCCUCAGGGAGCCCAAGGCAGUGAGCAGCAUAUGGGAUUGUUGUCCCUUGACCUGGGGCUGCUUGGGCAGGCUGGAAGUAUUUUAAAUCAAUGCAUAAAAUAAAAUUAAAACAACAACUUAGCAACUUAUAAAAGAGAAUUUGACACUGGCAAUAUAAAGCAGUCAUAAAACAGUAAAAUGAGAGAGGGAUGCAUCAAAUGGGAAUAAGUAUGAGGGUUACAACAGUAGUCAAGGAGAGACACUGACACCAGGCAGGGAUUCAGCACACAACAUAUCUCUAGGGGGACAGUGGACAUGAUUCUCAUCACUCGACAGCUUCAAGAAAAAUGCAGAGAGCAAAACCAACCCCUUUCCAUGGAGUUUAUUGACCUGACUAAGGCCUUCAGCACUGCAAAUCGUAAUGCCCUGUGGACUGCCCUUCUAAAAAUUGGCUGCCCAGAGAAAUUUGUAAACGUCAUUUGGCUCCUCCAUGAUAAUAUGACAGCAACAAUCGCAAAUAACAAUGGCUCACAAAGUGGGAGAGUGGGAUCAGGUGUUAAACAGGGUUGUGUUAUUGCCCCUACUCUAUUCAUUAUUUUCAUUGCCAUGAUCCUACACUUUGUCGAAGGGAAACUCCCCUCAGGAGUAGAAAUCAUAUAUCAAACAGAUGGAAAGCUCAUUACCAUGAACAGCAGAAGGCAAGGCAAGGCUUUCCUCUAAGACUGCAUGACAUACCCUAUAAAAAGUUUACAGCAUAAAAUUUGAGAGCAUUAACAUAUCCAGAAUGGAGCUUCUUAGUUGCCAGAACAAAUUUGACUACCAGGUGUGUAAGCUGUAGAUCUUUAUCAGCUAGGAGCUCAACUGUCAGCUGCUUAUUUUGUUUAUUAAUAAAUUUGUAUAACACCCUUCAUCUGCAGGCCUGAGAGACAGUCAAGAACAGAUGGUAAGUCUUUUCCUCUGGACACUGACUAUAAGGGGCAAAGCAGCAGGUAAUGGAUGACAUCCUCAACCUGAUUGCAUCCACAAAUGCACCUGCGUUUCAUAUGGGGAAUUCCCAGGUAUUUCCCCUCUAAAUAAGCUGAGGGCAUCUGUUGGAACCUUAGUUCAACAAAUGCCCUAUGUAGCUGUGGGAAAGUUAGUGUCUCAAGGUAAUGGAGCCUUGAGUAGCUGAUCUUGAUUUGGGGGUACCAGAUAGAAUAACAGGCAGCCAUGGAUGCCCUAUCUUGGUUGGCAUCCUGAUCAAAGUUCCAAUUUCUUAGGUCAUGUGGACUGAGGACUAAAUAUUUCUCCAUUUUUAAAUUGUAAGCCCUAAGCUUAUUGUGACACUUCUGCACCAGCCACCUGACCUUAGUUCCUCUAACCAGCAGAGCUUCGUUGUAAUAUGUCCUCGGAGGCAUUUAGUCUGUGCCCGUAUCUGAGGGAGGCUAGAUUGAUUCUGGCUCUUAUUGAGGGGAGACCAAACUCAGCUCUGAGGUGGACUGCCGGUUCCCCAGUGGAAGCCCCAACAUCUGCCUCGUGGAUUUGUUUUGUUGGGCUUCUAGUUCAGAUUUAAUACCACUUCCCCAGAUCUCAACCCUGUAAAACUUGUUUAAAAACAUAAACUUGUUUUAUGUUUUAUAAUACUCCUGAAAUAGGGGGGAGAAGGAACAGUACAAACAACCGAACAAUGUCAAAAAUAACUUAAUCACAACAAUCAAAAUUACUUCAGAAAGGGAGCAACCUCUCAUGGCCCAAAAACCGUUCUUAAAAGGAGGGCUUUAUUUUUUAUUUUAUUUAUUAUUAAAUUUGUAUAACACCAUUCAUCUGCAGACCUCAGGGUGGUUCACAACAUAAAAUUACAAUACAAAAACCACCAAAUACAUAGUAGAAAUGAAAGCAACAAAAACCCAAUAAUCCCCACUCCCACAACACAUUUAAAAGGGCAUAUAAUAAUAAUAAUAAUGAUGAUGAUGAUGAUGAUGAUGAUAAUAAUAAUAAUAUAAUAUUUAUACCCCACCCAUCUGGCUGGGAACCUUCUCAAUAGCGGCACCUGCCCUAUGGAACGCCCUCCCAACAGAUGUCAAAGACAAAAACAACUACCAGACUUUUAGAAGACAUCUGAAGGCAGCCCUAUUUAGGGAAGUUUUUAAUGUUUAACAGACCACUGCAUUUUAAUAUUUUGUUGGAAGCCACCCAGAGUAGCUGGGUAAACCCAGCCAGAUGGGCGGGGUGUAAAUAAUAUAUUAUUAUUAUUAUUAUUAUUAUUAAAGAAACAGGGUAUGAACUUUGUGAACAAAUUAAAUGUAGAGGGGAAAGUAAAAGAUAAUCUGAAAGAUAUACAAAGGCAAUUUACAAAAUAUUAUACAGAACUAUACCUAGUCGGUUCUGAAAAUAAAGAGAAAAUUGUAGAAUAUUUAAAACAAAAUAACCUGCCAAAAGUUCCAAAAGAGAAAAUGGCUUUAUUAAAUGAGCCAAUUUCAACACAGGAGGUGUAAGAAGCAAUUAUACAAGCUAAAAUAGAUAAAACACCAGGGCCAGAUGGACUACAGUGGUACCUCGGGUUAAAUACUUAAUUCGUUCCAGAGGUCCGUUCUUAACCUGAAACUGUUCUUAACCUGAGGUACCACUUUAGCUAAUGGGGCCUCCUGCUGCUGCCAUGCAAUUUCUGUUCUCAUCCUGAAGCAAAGUUCUUAACCCGAGGUACUAUUUCUGGGUUAGCAGAGUCUGUAACCUGAAGCGUAUGUAACCCAAGGUACCACAGUAUCAGCAAAGUACUAUAAAAAAUUACAGGAUUUUCUGGUACAACCACUUAAAGACUUAAUGAAUGAGAUAUUAAUGACUGGGGAAGUACAGAAUCCUGGAAAGAAGCCUAUAUUACAAUGAUUCUGAAACAAGAUGCUGACCCACUGUUAGUCAAAAAGUAUAGGCCAAUCUCUCUAUUAAAUAAUGAUUAUAAAAUAUUUGCAAACAUUUGCCAAUGGAAUGAAGAAGGUUUUAAUUGAUCUAAUUCAUCAUGAUCAGGCAGGUUGCUUGCCAAGCCUCCAGAUGAAAGACAACAUAAGAAAUAUAGUUGAAGUUAUAGAAUACUUGGUCAGACCACAAUUUAAGAAGGCUAUUGACAAGCUGGAAUGUGUGCAAAGGAGGGUGACCAAUAUGAUCAAGGGUUUGGAAACCAAGUCUUAUGAGGAGCACUUGAAGGAACUGGGUAUGUUUAGCCUGGAGAAGAGAGUGAGAGGUGAUAGGAUUGCCAUCUUCAAAAAUCUACAGGGCUGUCUCAUGGAAGAUGCAGCAAGCUUGUUUUUUCCUGCUUCGGAAGCUAGGACCUGAAGCACAGACCCUUCAAGUGUCCCUAUUUUCCAGGGGCGUCCCUGAUUUAGAGAAGCUGUUCCAGUGUCUGAUUUGAUCCCGUAAUGCCCCACUUUCCCUUAGAUGUUCCUAUUUUAAUUGGAGAAAUGUUGGCGUGUAUGGAGUUAUCCGACCCCCACACUGUCUGAAGGCAGUCCUGUAUAGGGAAGUUUUUUAAAUGUUUUAUUAUGUUUUUAUAUAUGUUGGAAGCUGCCCAGAGUGGCUGGGGCAACCCAGUCACAUGGGUGGGGUAUAAACAGUAAAAUUAUCAUCAUGGAAUGGGAUGUCCCUACUUUCAUCCGAGAAAUGUUGGAGGGUAUGUUACCAUGUUGCAGUAAUCUAACCUAGAGUUUACCAGAUCAUAGACAACAGUAGUUAGAGUGUCCCUGUUCAGAUAAGGGCGCAGUUGGGCCACCAAUCAAAGCUGAUGGAAGGCACUCUGCACCACUGAAGCCACCUGAACCCAAAGCAACAGCAAAGGAUCCAGGAGUACCCCCAAACCAGGGGCAAAGGUACAAAAUUUGAGUUUCCGGCUAAACAUCAGGAAGAACUUUCUGAUAAUAAGGGCUCGUCCUGCUUGCACCGUGCGUAGCCAGCACAGGUCUAAGCUCUUUUGCCUUGGCUCCACCACAUUCCUCCAGAAAAGCUGCUCGUUAGCACUGAAUUGGAACAAAUGGCAAUCUGCGGAAAACCUGUUUACUGUUUGUUCCGAUUCAGCACUAAAGAUUGGGUUUCCCCAGGGGAAAGUGGCAGGGGAAACUGAGGUUUGGAUAAGCCCUAAGAGCUGUUUGACAGUGGAAUGAGCUACCCUGGAAGGUGGUGGACUCUCCUUCCUUGGAGGUUUUUAAGCAGAGGUUGGGUGGCCAUCCGUCAUGGACACUUUAGCAUUGCAGGGGUUGGACCAGAUGAUUCUUGGCUUCCUUUCCAGCUCUACAAUGCUAUGAUUCCAUGAGUAGCACAAUAACCAACCCAUUUUCUCGAAGCAACUUUCCAGAUGUUUUUAAAAAAUGCUUUAGUUGUUAUUGAGUGAAGGAGAAACACGUAGAGGGAAUGCAAAAAACUCAAACCUGGGGAAAGAAGCCCCUUUCUUCCUCUGAAGUCACACAUAUAUUUGCCUCUUUUAGACAUAAAAAUAAAACAGUACAAGACUCCCACUUCCCCUGCAUCACAAUGCCUAGCUAUUUAAAGAUUGUUUUAACAUUUAUUUUUCACUGAAGGGAGCGCCCCGCCCCCCCGUCAGCACUAGAGUGAGCAACAUCACCUGGCAUUUAAAAUAUUUUAAAAAUCAACAAACAGUUAAUCUUCCCCUCUCCUUAUCAAGGCUUCUUCUACCAAAGGAAAGGAGAAAAUUCUGAAAAUGUUGCCUCUGUCAGCAGCCAAAAUGCUUCCAGUUGAAAGAGAUAACCAUAGCCCUUCUCUGAUAGGUCAGUCAUAUCGCAGGAAGGCCUCUUGCUUUCCCUCCACCCUCUUCUUUUGGCUUAAGAAAUAGAUGUUCUCUCCCAGGAAUCCAUGUCCUCUGCAGUUCCAAGAAGUAUAAAUCAACCUUCAACCUACAAGCGCUAAUGGGAAGCAAAAUGAAAAAGUCUAGAACUUAGUGUGUGCCUGAUUGCAGGGUUUAAGAACAAGGGUAAUGUCAAUUGUAUAGGUUGCUGUGCUUCCCCAGGGAAGGGCAAAGGCUGUGUUUGGGGAGCCCUUUCACGGAAUACGUGGAAAGACUGUGAAGAGCAGCAGUCCGAGCAAAUGGAUCAUGGGUUGGGUCUUUAGCGACCGUGCCACUUUUUCUUCCUAAUGAUCCCUCCAAUUUUGUGUGUGUGUGUGUGUGUGCGUGAGAGAGAGAGAGAGAGAGAGAGAGAGAGAGAAGCUUAUGGGUAGGCCAGAUGUACUAAUUCAUUGUUUGCAAUACAAUACAAUUGUCUGCAGCACAACUGAUAGUAGUGUCUUGGUGCAGAUCCCAACGCAGUCUUUGCUGCUGUGGUGCACGUCAAAAUUAGCACCCACCUUUGGUAAACAGGCGAGGCAUUUUCACAUGUCACCUUUUGAGCCUCCCUUGCUCUUUUCAUUUUGAAUCCUGAUCAACUGUCAAUGCGAAACAGGAAGCAGAGGAGGGACAUUUGUCAUGUCAAUGAGCAUUCUGGGUCAAGGUAAGUUACAAAUUUCCUUCCUGUUACAAACUCAGUUGAGGCAAAAGCCUCUUGGAGCUUCAUGAGUGAAAAGGCCUGAGUUCAUCAUAUUCAAGAUUUGUCACAAUAUUGUGGACCCUGAGGGUACAGAUGAUAAUUGCUACUGGGGAAAAUAAUCCCCUCUUCAAAUCUGGCAAAGGCAGUAGAUUACACAAUGAGCAUGACUAUAUUUGGCCCCACACCGUGUGGGCUGUAAGCAGUGCUAUUUUUCUAGAAAAAGAGGUGCUGGAAUGCAAUCAGUCAGUCAAUCAAUCUCCUUUUUUGGCAUAGUAAGGGUACGUCGUAUACAUGGAUCAGAACACAACACAGGUAACGAAAUGUAGUAGGAGGUACUUUAGGGUAAGACUGUCCAGACAUCAUGAAAUACAAAGGUGGCUCUUAGGACCUAUGGCAGGGGUAGGCACACUAAGGCCUGGGGGCCAGAUCCUGCCCAAUUGCCUUCUCAAUCCAGCCCACGGACGGUCCGGGAAUCAGCGUGUUUUUACAUGAGUAGAAUGUGUCCUUUUAUUUAAAAUGCAUCUCUGGGUUAUUUGUGGGGCAUAGGAAUUCGUUCAUCCCCCCCCCCAAAAAAAUAUAGUCUGGCCCUCCACAAGGUCUGAGGGACAGUGGACUGGCCCCCUGCUGAAAAAGUUUGCUGACCCCUGACUAUGGUGAAGUAAUUUCAUGGCAUCAAUCAAAAAUAUUGCUACAUUCUCCACAACGUCAAUCCUACAAUUAUUCAACAGAUAGGUCACUCUGAAAGAGUCAGUGUGAUAGAUCCCCUCCUUCAUUAAGGGGGGGGCAAAUAUUUAUCAUAUAUUCUUGCAUAUAAUAGGCAAUGAAAUAAAACGUGUGAUGGAUUCGACCUGUUUUGUGUCACAAGGGCCACCUUUCAGAAUAUGGGAUUUUGAAGAAUCUCCCUUUCAAGACUGCAGACGGUGAGGGAAAGAGAUCUGCAUAGAUGGGGAUCAUAAAGGUGAUAUAAAUUCCUCCUGGCCAAAUAAAGGUGGAAUUCCCACCCCCAGUGGGAAAUAGGUCUUAAUGGCUGUGCUGCUGAGGGUUUGGCAUUAAACCUCUUGAAUUCUGCACUUGAUUAUCUGGAAUGCUUCCAACUGUGGGAGCAUAAGCAGCAACUCGAGUGAUAGGCCACAGGUUCUGAUUUUGCUCUCAAUGCGAACUAACCAUUUGGAAUGGUGAGAUUCUGCCAGCAUAUGGAAAGUUAAAGAAGAUGAGUUGGACUUGAACCCACCAUGAACACCUCCCUCAUUUUCUUAGAAUGGCAAUGGAACUCACCUGAGAGGUGCCGGAACUGAGUUCCAGUGAGUUCUGGAGGGGGGAAAGCCCUGGCUGUAGGUGGUCAUCUAGUGGAGGCACCAGAAAAAAAUGGUCGAGGGGCACAGAAUGGAUGAUGGAGAUCUCUAGGUGGGCCAAAAAGAAAAAUAUCAGCAUGUACUAAUGACAGGAAUUGUUCUCCCACCCAGCUGCCUCUUUCUUCCUCGGAGCUGACUGGUUAGAAAGAACCAGGGAUCAGGUUUCCUCGAUUUCUGUCUCUAGCUGGAGAAAAGAAGUCUAAUUGAAAACAGCUAUCUCUUUACUCCCACACUGCCAUUUCCCACCCACUCAGGCACAAGAGGCUGCAGGGUCUGGCGUCUGCAUUCUGAGGCUCCCUGCUUAAGAAUGAAGAGGGAAAGGGGCUGGUGCUGAGAAAGGCACAGGCAGAGGAAGGAUAGGCGUCUGGCCAAAGCCUAUGGAGGCAACGUAUGCAGAUUGCACCCACUCUCUCACCAAACAUGGGUGGAGCACCUCCACCAAUGCGCCUCAAAAUGUACACUCUCAGACUUGGAACCUGCCUCCCUGGCCUGAAAGAAACAACCUCUUCCCCUGCUCAUCAAGCCACUUCCCUCUCUUCUUUUAGAAAUUCAUCCUCAAGUGCAUACCUCUCCAGAAAAUAGUUUCUGCAUGAAUAAAGCCUUUGAAUGCCAGAAACUAGAAGUGAUUAUUCCAAUCUAAUUCACCCAAGCUGCAGGGUCUGCUAACAGGUUAUGGACACAGGCAUUGAUUUGGAACUCCAAACUUUGUUUCCCAGAGUUUCCCUUCCAAAAGCCUUCCCAAUCCAGCUGCACUUCUCCAAGGAGAGAGGCAGCAGGAAGGGGAGUGAAUAUCAAGGAAACUGAAGAGAAAAGAUUGGAGUGGGCUAGAAAGCAGGAGCAGGCGGCAAAGAACAAAGGAAGGAAUCAGCAAAAGCUGGAGGAGACCGUUUGUACUGCUGAGAACUGCAAUGAGAUUGGGUUGGGGUUAGCAUUAGUGUUAGGGUUCUGGUUACUGUUAGUGUUAUUUGUGGUUAGGGUUACAUUUGGUUUGAGGUUAAGGAGUGGGUUAGGACUAAGCUUGAGGUUCAGAUAAGGGUUGGGGUUAGAGUCGGAGGUAUGUUUAGGACUAGGAUUAGGGCUGAGGUUAAGUUUAUGAUAAGGGUUAGGGCCAGAGUCAGGCCCAUGCGUGGGUGGGGGGCUGCCAAAUACACUUGCCCCAGGUCUGAGAGGGCUAAGCAAGCUGGGGACCCUGCAAGUGGCCGGCUGGACUUCUGCUGUCAUGCCAGGAAUGCCCUGCACCUCCCAGCCACCCAGGGCCUUUGUAUGGGCCUGGCCAGAGUUAGAGUUAGUGCCGGGGUUAGGGUUACAUACCUUUCAAGUGCCCCUAUUUUCCCAGGACAGUCCCGGAAUUACAGAAUCCACCCUGGCUUCUGAUUUGAUCCCGGAGUGUUUGUUUCCCCCUCCAGCCAGCCCUGCCGCCCAGCUUGGGGAGUUGGAUGAGCCGGCACUUGUGCUUGCAGAAGAACCCUCAGGAAGCAGAACUAUUGUGUCUGGGAGAGGCAGCUUCCUGCCAAAGCGGGGGUGGUGGAUGGGCACAACCCCACAAUGCUGCCAACUACACUCCAGUAGUUGUUGCCGCCACCUUCCCACUUACCGGUACUCCUGCAGCAUUGGUCCUCUAUAACAGAGGUGAGUUUAUCUCACACCACGUGAAAAUCUGCCUGAGGGAGGAAGGAAUAAGACACAUGAGAAGUGUUAGUUACACCCCACAACAAAACUCAGUCAUUGAAAGUUUAUAUCUCCUCUGGAAAUGGCAUUCCCAAAUGCUAAGUCAAGUUUUACUACCUGUGCCACUUUUUUCUGAAUGCUAUAUGGAAAAACACAUGAAUCUGACCUUUGGAGAGUUUGUAAACAACCAUUUUUAACUUACCAAAUGUGAGAUCUUCUUAUGCUAGGGGAAGUGAAAAACACUAGAAGGAACUUGGAAUUACAGUGGUACCUCAGGUUACAUAUGCUUCAGGUUACAUACGCUUCAGGUUACAAACUCCGCUAACCCAGAGAUAUUACCUUGGGUUAAGAACUUUGCUUCAGGUUGAGAACAGAAAUCGUGCUCCAGCGGCACGCCAACAGCAGGAGCCCCCAUUAGCUAAAUUGGUGCUUCAGGUUAAGAACAGUUUCAGGUUAAGAACAAACCUCUGCAACGAAUUAAAUACUUAACCCGAGGUACCACUGUACAUACAGUAUUUUAAAAGUCUUACUUUGCUGCAUAUUUUGUGAUUUUAAAUCUCUUCUGGGGUUCUGUCACCAAAGUGUACUGGCCCUAAACUUGGAUGUAUGCAUCCAGAAAUUCUCCUUUCUCUAUUUUUUCCUUGCAGUUUUGUCCCCAUCUUCCUCCCUCCUGAGUUCUACAAGGGAAAACUGAGACAAAGGAGCCUGGCAGCCCGGGCCAUCCUCUGGGCUGGUUGUUAAAGUCAGGUGGGUGCCGGCUGGGGGAGACUCACAUUGGUGGGACGUGGCCCCAUUUGCCCUAUUUGGCUAGCCUCCACUGUCGCUGUUAGAUUGCAAUGCCAAACGCACUUAUUGGAGAGUAAAAUCCAUUGCACACAAUGGAAAUUCUUUUCACGUAAAGCUACACAGCACUGCAACAUUAUCAUGGCAGGCACAUUUGUGGACUUGCGCACACAUUGCCAGAUUCAUCAGUAAUUAUUUGGCAUAUCAAAUCAAUGUGUGCAGAGGAGGGCUGCCACAUGGGUGGUGAAGCAAGCCUCUUUUCUCCUGCUCUGGAGGGAAGGACCCAAACCAAGGGCUUCAAGUUAAACAUCAGGAAGAACUUUAUGGUGGUGACAGCUGUUCAACAGUGGAAUGGAUUCCAUUUGGAGAUUGUGGACUCUCCUUCCUUGGAGGUUUUUAAGCAGAGGUGAGAUGGCCAUCUGCCAUGGAUGCUUUAGCUGAGAUCCCUGCAUUGCAAGGGGAUGGACUAGAUGACCCUCAGGAUCCCUUCCAAAUCUACAAUUCUAUGUUUCUACUAAAUCUUUAUUAAUGACCAUCAUUAAGAAACUGGGAUAAGAAGCACAUAGAACAUAUUCUAAUUUUGCAGAUUUACUUGUAUACAUAGCUGGGUGGGUGGGUAAUAUAAAUAGCAAUGUCCAAAAGCCAUGAAAUGCAGGAAGUACAUUUUCAGUCUGUGAUUUAUUGUUGCUGGUUUUAAAUGUCGUUUUGUUUUUAACAGACAUGUUGUUUUAAUUUUUCAUUUUGUGCUGCUUGCAUUUUAUAGAGAUGUGACUAAUGCACUUCAUAGAUAAGAAAAUAAAUCUUUGUCUACGUGAACCCUGGAGAGCCAUUGCUUCAGCUGAACUCCCACAGCACGGGGGGCUCCAACCUGGGAAUCAGAAUGAGAGCCCUUCAAAGUCUGUGAAUCAGAAAUUCUCCUCUUGAUGCCUCUAGUGCCACUUCAUAAAUUUGAACAGCCUGGAAAAGAGCUGAACAGUUCAGAAAAUUAGAUGUAUGACCACACAGAAGUAGUAUUUACAGGAAUUUAGAGCAGGAAUUGAAGCACCAAGGAGCUUCAGAUUAAGAGUUUUGAUUGCAGUAUUGGUGGUGGUUGCAUAACUGGAUUGAAAACGUCUGGAG